GAGGGGUAUAGUUCUUCGGAGCUAGAGACCGGCGCACGGGUGCGUAACGCGUAUGCAAUCUACCUUUUACAGAGGGAUAGCCCAGAGAAAUUUGGAUUAAUACCUCAUAGUAUGUGAGAAUCGCAUGGUUUUCACAUUAAAGUCACAACGGUAAAAGAUGAGCAUGCGUCCCAUUAGCUAGAUGGUAAGGUAACGGCUUACCAUGGCAACGAUGGGUAGGGGUCCUGAGAGGGAGAUCCCCCACACUGGUACUGAGACACGGACCAGACUCCUACGGGAGGCAGCAGUGAGGAAUAUUGGACAAUGGGCGCAAGCCUGAUCCAGCCAUGCCGCGUGCAGGAUGACGGUCCUAUGGAUUGUAAACUGCUUUUGUACAGGAAGAAACACUCCCUCGUGAGGGAGCUUGACGGUACUGUAAGAAUAAGGAUCGGCUAACUCCGUGCCAGCAGCCGCGGUAAUACGGAGGAUCCAAGCGUUAUCCGGAAUCAUUGGGUUUAAAGGGUCCGUAGGCGGUUUAAUAAGUCAGUGGUGAAAGCCCAUCGCUCAACGGUGGAACGGCCAUUGAUACUGUUAAACUUGAAUUAUUAGGAAGUAACUAGAAUAUGUAGUGUAGCGGUGAAAUGCUUAGAGAUUACAUGGAAUACCAAUUGCGAAGGCAGGUUACUACUAAUGGAUUGACGCUGAUGGACGAAAGCGUGGGUAGCGAACAGGAUUAGAUACCCUGGUAGUCCACGCCGUANACGAUGGAUACUAGCUGUUGGGAGCAAUCUCAGUGGCUAAGCGAAAGUGAUAAGUAUCCCACCUGGGGAGUACGUUCGCAAGAAUGAAACUCAAAGGAAUUGACGGGGGCCCGCACAAGCGGUGGAGCAUGUGGUUUAAUUCGAUGAUACGCGAGGAACCUUACCAAGGCUUAAAUGUAGUUUGAUCUGAUUGGAACAGAUCUUUCGCAAGACAAUUACAAGGUGCUGCAUGGUUGUCGUCAGCUCGUGCC
Molecule: ribosomal RNA, 991 nt
Filed under: uncultured Flavobacteriaceae bacterium
Lineage: Bacteria; Pseudomonadati; Bacteroidota; Flavobacteriia; Flavobacteriales; Flavobacteriaceae
Description: bacterial SSU rRNA
Rfam family: Bacterial small subunit ribosomal RNA
Source: RNAcentral